This is a long non-coding RNA of Cygnus olor (mute swan), 2339 nucleotides long. RefSeq lists it as uncharacterized. The transcript has 9 exons. Lineage: Eukaryota; Metazoa; Chordata; Aves; Anseriformes; Anatidae. The record is from RefSeq and is a predicted model, not a curated record.
AAACAGGAACAGCACAUCUGAACAAGCAGUGAACACCCUGCACCUUCACCCACGAUUAGAGUUCAGUAGCGGCUGUUCUUUCGAGUUUGUGAAGCAAGGUUGCAAGAACCUUUACCUGGACAUACCUAAAUGUGGAAAAUGAAGAUUCAAGCUCCUGAUCCGCAGUUAAAAUUGCUGUUGUGGAACGACGAAGUGCAGGUGACCUACACGGAGCAGAACAGAGGAGACAAGGGGAGAGACGAGUGAUGCAAAUGUGAAGAGUUUAGAAGAACAGAGACCUGUGGACAGGACUGAAAAUGACUGGGGAGGAGUAGGGAGCUGAAGAAGAGAGAAAGGAGAAUUAGAAAAUAAAGUAGAGGUCAGCUGACUCGACAUUAUUUUAUUUGAGUGACUGGCUUUACUGCAAUGACUGCAAUGGGGAUUUUCCUUGACACGAUGUGGAUUUUGUCUUCCAUCAGGCAGUGAGGCAGAAACACAGUCUGGAUAAGGAUCUAAAUUUUGAGCUGUUUAUCUGAAGCAAGGCUGGGUGCCUGCCCAUCACUGGCUGCAAAGCAUAUGAGUUUAAAAGCCUGAACCAUUGGAAUUUCUUAGCAGCAGUAUGAUGCCUCUGCUUCAGCACUUGUAACCCCCUCUCAGGAGGAGCGGUGCUAACCCACUAGAGUGCCCAGACUGUAAAGGUCUUUUCAUAACAUAAUUACUGGAGCUCAAAAUAUAUGAAGAAUGAAACUGCCAGUUAUCCAAAUAUCUUGGAGAAAGAUAGACAGGGACAUGCAGUUUUGGGAAGGAAACCCAUUUGCCAUGAUUAGAUUUAAUAUGUUCAGCAAUAUUCAAUAAUGCUGUAUUUCUCGAGUAACAUUCGUUAUUAAGAAGGAUAAUAAAUUAAGAGCCAUGUAAAAUAUUCCUGUAUAGUCAACUUAAGAAAAUAAGGGAAUAAUUUGAAACAUUCAUUGCCUAUUCUAAGGUUCUUGACUUACAUGAUUCUUGGCAAGACAGAAGGAAGUCUCCAGUCCUCGGGUUUGAACUUGAAAAUAUGACACUAUUAUUUCAUUUGCAUUGUUUACAUGGAAUAAUACGUGUGUAAGGUAACCCAGAGGACCUUCCCUCUCCUCAGAAAAUGUGCUUUUCUUUGGGAAUAUGCAGACUCAAACCAUGAUCUUACAAAUAAUCACACUAGCAUUUAAUGUGAGGAGUCCUAUUGAUUUCAGUGGGACCACACACAGUAGGAAAAUAGAGCAUGGGUAGAAACACUUGCAGAUUCAGACCAAAGAAUCUAGACUAUAUAGACAGACCCCAUAAAACUAGAUAGUUCUCUUCAGCUAGGGGACUAAAUUUUUUAAAAUACAAGAGAAGCUGACAAUGCAUUCUAUAAAAUAUUUCAAAUAAUCAAAAAUUUGAUGCUGUUCCAAAAAAUCAGUUCAACAUUGGCAUUUUAUUAUUAUUAAUAUAUUUAACAAGUUAGCUAUUAUAAUUAAAAAUAAUGUUUGAAAUAAGGCAUUGCAUCACUGAGGAUUUCCCCCAUUUUCAACACAUUUUCUUUGCAAGAAAAUUGCAUAUUCUUCCAAACUCCCUACUGUAGUUGCUCAAAAUAGUUGUGUGUACUGCACCAAAUUACCAUAAACAAUUUUAUAGGGAAUAUGCUUGUAAAGGACUGACAAAGGAUUGUGGUUUAAAUUUUCAAUGGGAAUGUAAAAAAAACAUAUAUGGAGUAUAAACAGAUGCCCAAGGGAUGUAUUUUAGAUAUAGGCAUAAAAGGUAGUAUUUAACCAUUAUAAACAAAAGCCAGAACUUGAGUCAUGGUUACCCAGGUUGGGACAUCCACUGAGUCCAGUGCUCUUGGGGCCGAAGACCCUUGGAGCCACCUAAGACAGAUAUAGCCCUUCCAGGUCUGGCACUCAUUGGGAUGUCUGUGCACAACACUCUACUGAACAGUGAAGAUCUUUCAGGCAAGGAUUGUCCCUCAGUUAUACUUGUUCAGUGUCCAGCUUCACGAGGGAGGUGUGAAUGUGCAUCCACUGAGACACAGCUGUGCAGCUAAUGAUUGGUGUUGGGCUAGUAGCUGAAACUAUAAAGGAACAUAUUUAGUGAAAGGAGUAAUGAAGGGAAAAGAAGUGCAGAUAGACUAGCAGAACUGGAAGCACAGCCAAGACGAUCUGAACAGAAGCUCGGUGACCUAAGGACGCAGCCGAGACAACUUUUAAUUAAGUUUUAGCUGCAUCCUGAGACCUGCCUAAUCCCAAGAUCACAGUUGCUGUAUGCUCAUUUGCAGCCACUAGAUCUGGAAACUAAAAUUGUUCCUGCUUGAAGUCAGAGCCAUAUUACUACAGUUGAAAGCCAAGAAU